Oncorhynchus mykiss (rainbow trout) is the source of this 6030-nucleotide non-coding RNA. The record is from RefSeq and is a predicted model, not a curated record. Lineage: Eukaryota; Metazoa; Chordata; Actinopteri; Salmoniformes; Salmonidae.
UGUUCGUUGGCGGCGGUACCACGGCAGCAGCAGGCCACAGCGCCCAACACGCAUGUUCAGUGGAGAGUCAAUGGAAGGAGCCCUCAGAUGACGGACGCAAACGUCUGGGCAUGACAGCCGCUGUCACCGAGAGUGACAGCUUUCGCUCUCUGACGCCGCACCUCGACUAGACCCGAGUGAAGCCCGCCAAAGAAGUGACACGGAGCAAAUCAGAACUAUGCCAGAGAUGGAAAAAGGGAGACCACCGGAAAAUAAACGCAGUAGGAAACCUGCGCACCCCGUCAAGAGAGAGAUCAACCAAGAGAUGAAGACGUUUGCAGAGAGCACCAUGAAUGAGCUCCUAGGCUGGUACGGCUAUGACAAGGUGGAGCUCAGGGACAACGAGGCAACCGAGAUACGGAACUACCCCAACCGAGAGAGACGCCAGCAGCAUGUCUCCGUCCUUAAAGAAAACUCAGUGCCGAAGCCCAAGAGCUUGAACAGCAAAGUCAGCCCCUCUGCACUGGCCAUGAGGAGUGGAGAGAGAGAAUCAUCCAGCGUCCCCUCUUCCACUUCCUCUUCCUUCCCCAGCUCCUCCUCUUUGACCAGCCCUAAGGAGCAUAAGAGCGCUCCUGUAAUUGUCCCCCUUAUAAAGCCAUCUGCAGUGGAAGACGUGCAGAAUGUGCAGAUAGUGUGUGUGUGGUGUCAGAAGGAGGGGGUGAAGCGCUACUCUCUCUGUAUGGGCACCGAGCUGAAGAGCUUCUGUAGUGAGAAGUGCUUCGCCGCCUGCCGACGGGCCUAUUUCAAACGCAACAAGGCCCGGGAUGAGGAUCUCAAUGGAGGUGAGCAAUCCCCCCAACACACCCAUGCCGACGACUCACCCCGACUGGUGAUGAAGAUGAACAGCAGUGGGGCCAGAUCACUCUCGCCUGUACCUCAGGUGUGCGACUGGUGCAAACACAUCCGCCACACCAAAGAGUACCUGGACUUCGGCGCAGGCGCAGAACGGCUCCAGUUCUGCAGUAGUAAGUGCUUGAACCAGUACAAGAUGGACGUGUUCUACAGAGAGGCCAGGGCAGCUCUCAUCAGCUCCAGCCCAGGCCCAGGAAGACCCACCCAGGAUGGGAGAACUGAGUCCAACGGAGGGGGUCAGAACCAGAAACUCCUGACCCCCGAAUCGUGGAACAAUGGCGCGGGGGUCGUUCGGGGGAGGACCAGGUCACCCAAAGGGCCCAUGCCAAGGACUGUGUCACCAUCUGAGGCGUCGUCCUCGUCCUCCAAGGCCCCCGUCUCUGGGCUGAGACACCUGGAGAGGCAUGUCCUGCCACCGUUGCCACCCCCAGAGGUGGCAAACCACCACUCCGUCCCCCCUCCUCCUCCUCGCCCCCCCAUGGAGCACCACCAACACCACCAAGCAAUUCCUCAGAUCCCGCUGUCCUUCAUCCGGCCCCCCCUCCACGCCCAAGGCCUGACGAGCCCCAUCGCCAAUCCCCACAGGUGCCACCCUGGCCCCCCUUCCAGCCCCAUCAACCGGUCCACCCCUCACUCCCCCCACCACCCCCACCUCCAGCCCCCCUCGGCCUCCUCCAUGAACCCACCUAGAAUGCACCCAUACCCGGGGGCCUACUUCCCUGGCCUGCACUCCCCCCCAAUGAUGGGGCCCCGUGGCCCUGUGCCCAUGCCCUCUAUGAUGAACUUCGGGAGAUGGCCGUCCCUAGGCCCCUUCUUCCCUCAGCCCAUGGUCCUGGUUCCCUACCCCAUUAUUCUACCCAUCCCCGUCCCCAUCCCCAUUCCUAUCCCCAUACCCAUGCCCCCUAAGGCUUCCCCCUCAGACCCCCAAGGGAUCUCCCCCAGUGGGGUUAUCCAGCCAGUGCCAGAUGGGAUGGAGAGGAGGUGCUCCAGUGGUGUCAAACUGCCCUCUCCCGGGAGCUCUGUGCUAAGCAGAUUAAGUAGAACCCCCAACCAGGGUCUCCCGUCGCCCCCCGACCACCCCAAAAGGGAUAUCACAGAUUGGGUUAAAUCGGAGAGUCAGGCUCCGUCGCCCAUAUCGACCCCCCACAGUGCAGCGUCCUCCCCCAGGGCAUGCUACGAUGCUUCCCCUUCUUCCACUUCAGUGAUUGAGGCACUGUUAGACUUUAAGUUGGGCCAGCAGCAGCAGCCAGAGAGACAGCUCAUUCAUAGAGUGCUCCAGAGGACCCCAGUCAAGCUGGAGGUCAACCCCCAUGGAAUGGUGGACCUGUCGGGUAAACGGGAGUCCAGAGCGGGGCAAAGCACCAGGGUAUUGGAUACCAGAGUGGACCACCACAACCACCACCAUGACAUUAUCAAACCCACCCCUCCACCAUCCCAGUCCCCCCUUCCCCUUCACGACAUUUCCUUCCCCCAGAGCCCAAACACACAAAUCCCCUCGCACACUCCACCAAUGACCAGAGGGGGAUGCCGCAGCCCUCCCUGUGAUGCCGCCACCUCCUCCCCCCCGAUGUCCCCAGACAUCCCUAACCGAACGACUACGUCAUCAUCCCCCGACCCUGCUCCCAGCCCAGACUCCUCCCAGUCCCAGAGAGAGGCCCCGCUCCUUGGCCCUGACUCUGUCCUCAGCGAGCUGGAGGCGGUCAAAGAGAACAGCUGCUCCAAUGGCCAGGUCCAGGGGAGGGACCAGGGCAAGUUCCCUUCCCUCCCCACUAGCCAAUCAGAGGAGCCCUCGCCCAGUGGCGACCCUAAGGACCCCCACAUCCUCGAUGAGGACCACGCCUAUGCCCUGCCCACCCCCACCCCCACCCCUACCCCUACCAGGACGGGCAGUUUCCCAGCCACCACCCACACCACACUCCUUCUGCCCAAGCUCAGGGACAAGGGCACCCUCUGGAGCCCACCAAGUGUGGCUGGACCUGGGGACAUGGAGCCAGCUCAGAAGAGACGUUGCCUCCGUAUCCGAGAUCAGAACAAGUAGAAGAGGGAGGACAAUCGGGGCUACAAGUAGAACAGAAAACAGUUUGAUUGACAAAUGAAAUUUUUAAGAACAAGGUCCGCCAAAGGAAAAACCUGAGAAAAAUGAAUUUAUAUGAAUGCUCGGUACCAGAUCCAGUGCCCUGCCCUCUUAUGGACAUCACCAGAACCAACGCCCUCUCUCCAAUCCAUUCCUCAGCCAAUCAGUCAGCCACCAGGGAGAUUGGCCACGCCCUUCUUCUGACCACGAGUUGCCAAUCAAGGAAGCAGUCCAAUGGGGGAAGCAGCCCAAGAUAUGGACACCUAGUAUAUUCACAGCAUCUUUGGACUUCAGAGAUACCUCCUUCUUUGAUCUCUGCCAUACUCCAUGAGCCUAUCAGAGCCCACUCCUCAACCCUAUUCAGUGGCUCUACACUAGACGGUAGGCUACUAGGCUCCAAUCAUCAGCCUUGUGUGGUCUUCUCAGAUGGAGCCUGAACCUGAUCUCUUUCCUGGGGAAACGGUUUGUUUUCUCUGCCUAGCUCCACACAAAGAGCCACAUUGUUCCUCUCCCCCAUAUCCCACGCUAACUCCCCUACUCGGGUUUUGGGUUACCUGGCCGACGGGGGCUCAAGCUUCAGGAGGAGUGUCUUUUUUUUGGUCUGAUUGAGGGCCAGGAAUAUGUGUGUACCCGCCUCUCCUUCUUUCCUCUCCUCUCCUCUCCUCUCUGUACCCCCUGCCCAAUUGCAGUAUACAGUACACACACCAGUCCUGAAGUGCAACUUCUUACACCAAUUGCUUGAUAACUUCCUCUUUCCAUCGAAUAUCAUCUCACGAGGGAUGAGGGUAAACAAUUUCAGUUCAAGAAUUUAUCCUGAACUAUUUUAAGGAGGGAUGGAAUCUCCUGGAGCAAUGAAAAAUAUGAACUGUAAACAAUGUCAUAUGAUAACGAAGGAGAGAGGGAGCAAGUCCCAAAUAUCAAUCAAAUAUCAAUCUUGACUUGCCUGAGACUUGAAGACUUGUCCCCAAAAUGAAUGCCAAGGCUUUGGCUCAAAGGGCUACUACCACAGUCUUGUGAUGUGCAGGAGACCUGGGUUUCAGACCAUCACACAGGCAGUGAUUUAAAACACUGACUCAGUCAUGGGACUUGGGCUAUAUUGUCACAGGCAUACCAUUUAUGAUCUUUUUACCACCAAUUGGUCUUUUGACCAAUCAGAUCAGAUCUUUUGCCAAUAAUCGGGCAGCCUGUGUGAACACUGCCAUAGAAGUAGAUAUUUUGAGUUUCCAAACCCACUCCCUCUGUUGAUGCUCCUUACCUUACUCAGAUAAUGUGCAGUGGGCCCCUUUUGGUGGGUUUGAAACAACAAUGUAGGUAGUCAUGUUACCAGCCAUGGUAUUAUUUUGAACCGUCAAAGGCUGCAAAAUGCAGCUAUCAGUAUUACAGUUUGAUGAGAUACUGACUAUACGCCUGGUCCCAGAUCUAUUUGUUCUGUCUUGCCAACUCUUCUAGUCAUUGUCAUGCCAAAACUAUCCACAUUAUCCAGUGGGAGCAUCAUCAUCUUGAGGCCUUGCCAGCACUCAUCAUCACAUUGUGAGAAUUCACUUUUAGUUUUUGCUAUACAUAGACUUUGACUUUAUAUUAACUUAUGAAUGAUGCCUAGAUCUUCAAAAAGUGCCUUAUUGAUUUUUAUUUUGAUGAUGAUUAUUAUGCUGUAUUUUGCAAGUUCUAACCAGUUUCCAAAUGUUUUGUUAGAAUUUGUCCAGUAGAGUGCAGUGUCGCUUUUGGAACAUACAUACCUGCCAAAAUAAUGGAAACACUUGAGUAAAUGAGGGAUACAAAGUCAAUUGAAUGCAGGUGGUUCCACACAUGUGUGGUUUCUGAGUUAAUUAUGCAAUUACCAUCCCAUCAUGCUUCGGGUCAUAUAUAAAAAAUAAUGGGCAAGCCAUUAUUUUGGCUGCCAUGGCUAUGCCUCCCCCCAUAGGAUGACAAUGCCCCCAUCCACAGGUCACAAAUUGUCAUUGAAUGGUUUAAUGGGCAUGAAAACGAUGUAGGCCAUAUGCCAUGGCCGUCUCAGUCACCAGAUCUCAGCCAAUUAAACACGGAUGGGAGAUUCUGGAGCGGCGCCUAAGACAAAACACUAAACACAAAAUGAUAUAAUGAUUUAGUUUAAGAAUGGUGUCACAUCCCUCCAAUAGAGUUCCAGACACUUGUAGAAUAUAUGCCAAGGCACAUUGAAGCUGUUCUGGUUUGUGGUGUCCCAAUGCCCUAUUAAGACACUUUAUGUUGUGGUUUCUUUUAUUUUGGGAGUUACCUUACCUGUAGCAGCUGCCUCUUUUUACUAUACAUAACUAGCCGUCUCCAAUACCUUCGGUAAAUAGAUAGGCUGUUUUCAUUAACAUAAACGUGUAUUAAUUCACCUUCAUUCAGUAAACAACCAUACAUUUAGUGCCAAUACAAGUCUGUCUUCAUCAUGCCAAUUUCAGCAAUGGCUCGAUCUAUUCAUCGAUCCUGCCACAGAUCACCUGUUGCCACCCCCCCCCCCCCCCCCCCCCCCCCCACACACACACACACACACACACUCUCUCUCUCACACUCUCUCUCUCUCACACACACACACAUACACCUCUGCCAUCUCAGAACUGCAUUCCAAAGAGCACAUGCCCAAUCAGCGUAUGUGUAGCCACGGUGACAACAAGCUCAUUCCAGUCAACAGGCUUACCUUAGGUCAUGCCUAUAGAAUCAUUGUCAACUUAGUCUGCCCAGGGGACUGUGUCACAAACUAUUAUGACUCAGCAGUGAGGUCACUCUAUACUAAUGCCUGUCAUACCCUGCAGUACUCCCCUAGCCAUUCCUUAGUGGCCAAAAAGUCAACAAAAAACUGCCAUAGUAUAUUGCACAUCUACCUGUACCUACCAUUUCUGGCCAGUAUCAGUUUGGGAAGAUAAAAAUGUUAAGUUGUCUGAAACCUAUAUAUUGUGGACUCUGAGGACACUUGUUGAACAUAUAGGGUACUGUAUAAUUGACCAUUCAGAUAGUUUUUUAUGUAAAUGAAUACGAUAAACCGGGAGCUGUUUGGUGAAGACCCAUUUGUAAAGUGAAUAAAGGCUAUUCUGACGGUACCAACA